This 630-nucleotide ribosomal RNA is filed under the name Volvariella niveosulcata. RNAcentral describes it as "partial large subunit ribosomal RNA". It matches the Rfam family "Eukaryotic large subunit ribosomal RNA", at positions 73 to 691 of the family's 3401-position model. Lineage: Eukaryota; Fungi; Basidiomycota; Agaricomycetes; Agaricales; Pluteaceae. The record is from RNAcentral.
GAUUCCCCUAGUAACUGCGAGUGAAGCGGGAAGAGCUCAAAUUUAAAAUCUGGCGGUUUCUGGCCGUCCGAGUUGUAACCUAGAGAAGUGCUACCCGCGCUGGACCAUGCAUAAGUCUCCUGGAACGGAGCGUCAUAGAGGGUGAGAAUCCCGUCUUUGGCAUGGACUCCCAGGGCUUUGUGGUGUGCUCUCAAAGAGUCGAGUUGUUUGGGAAUGCAGCUCAAAAUGGGUGGUAAAUUCCAUCUAAAGCUAAAUAUUGGCGAGAGACCGAUAGCGAACAAGUACCGUGAGGGAAAGAUGAAAAGCACUUUGGAAAGAGAGUUAAACAGUACGUGAAAUUGUUGAAAGGGAAACGCUUGAAGUCAGUCGCAUUGGCUGAAGAUCAACCUUACAAUUCUGUGGGGUGUAUUUUUCAGUCAAUGGGUCAGCAUCAGUUUUGACUGCUAGAAAAGCAGAGGAUGUGGCACCCUUUGGGUGUGUUAUAGCCUCUAGUCACAUGUGGCAGUUGGACUGAGACUCAGCGUGCCGCAGGCGGGUCUUUGACCACGUUCACGCUUAGGGAUGCUGGCAUAAUGCUUUAAUCGACCCGUCUUGAAACACGGGACCCAGGAGUCUAACAUGCCUGCGAGU